Molecule: ribosomal RNA, 586 nt
Filed under: Flammulina velutipes
Lineage: Eukaryota; Fungi; Basidiomycota; Agaricomycetes; Agaricales; Physalacriaceae
Description: eukaryotic LSU rRNA
Rfam family: Eukaryotic large subunit ribosomal RNA
Source: RNAcentral
UUGACCUCAAAUCAGGUAGGACUACCCGCUGAACUUAAGCAUAUCAAUAAGCGGAGGAAAAGAAACUAACAAGGAUUCCCCUAGUAACUGCGAGUGAAGAGGGAAAAGCUCAAAUUUAAAAUCUGGCAGCUUCGCUGUCCGAGUUGUAAUUUAGAGAAGUGUUGCCCGCGCUGGACCGUGUACAAGUCUCCUGGAAUGGAGCGUCAUAGAGGGUGAGAAUCCCGUCUUUGACACGGACUCCCAGUGCAUUGUGGUACGCUCUCAAAGAGUCGUGUUGUUUGGGAAUGCAGCACUAAAUGGGUGGUAAAUUCCAUCUAAAGCUAAAUAUUGGCGAGAGACCGAUAGCAAACAAGUACCGUGAGGGAAAGAUGAAAAGAACUUUGGAAAGAGAGUUAAACAGUACGUGAAAUUGUUGAAAGGGAAACGCUUAAAGUCCAGUCGCGUCGGUUGGGAAUCAGUCUCGCUCUCUUGCUUGGCGUACUUCCCAGCUGACGGGUCAGCAUCAGUUUUGAUCGUUGGAUAAAGGUUGGAGGAAUGUGGCACCUUCGGGUGUGUUAUAGCCUCUGAUUGUAUACAACGGUUGGGA